Molecule: ribosomal RNA, 905 nt
Filed under: uncultured bacterium
Lineage: Bacteria
Description: bacterial SSU rRNA
Rfam family: Bacterial small subunit ribosomal RNA
Source: RNAcentral
AGAGUUUGAUCAUGGCUCAGGACGAACGCUGGCGGCGUGCCUAACACAUGCAAGUCGAGCGGAGUUUACGGCGUAGUUUACUACAUCGUAAACUUAGCGGCGGACGGGUGAGUAACGCGUGAGCAACCUGCCCUAUACAGGGGGAUAACAUCGGGAAACCGAUGCUAAUACCCCAUGACACCGGGACAUCGCAUGAUGGUCUGGUCAAAGGAGGAAUCCGGUAUAGGAUGGGCUCGCGUCCCAUUAGCUAGUUGGUGAGGUAAAGGCUCACCAAGGCAACGAUGGGUAGCCGACCUGAGAGGGUGAUCGGCCACACUGGGACUGAGACACGGCCCAGACUCCUACGGGAGGCAGCAGUGGGGAAUAUUGCGCAAUGGGGGGAACCCUGACGCAGCAACGCCGCGUGAGUGAGGAAGGCCUUCGGGUCGUAAAGCUCUGUCAUUAGGGACGAAAGAAAUGACGGUACCUAAGGAGGAAGCCCCGGCUAACUACGUGCCAGCAGCCGCGGUAAUACGUAGGGGGCGAGCGUUGUCCGGAAUUACUGGGCGUAAAGGGCGUGUAGGCGGCUGAUUAAGUCAGAUGUGAAAGGCCCCGGCUUAACCGGGGUAUUGCAUUUGAAACUGGUUAGCUUGAGUGCAGGAGAGGAAAGUGGAAUUCCUAGUGUAGCGGUGAAAUGCGUAGAUAUUAGGAGGAACACCAGUGGCGAAGGCGACUUUCUGGACUGUAACUGACGCUGAGGCGCGAAAGCGUGGGUAGCGAACAGGAUUAGAUACCCUGGUAGUCCACGCUGUAAACGAUGGAUACUAGGUGUAGGGGGUAUCGAAACCCUCUGUGCCGGAGUAAACGCAAUAAGUAUCCCGCCUGGGGAGUACGGCCGCAAGGUUGAAACUCAAAUGAAUUGACGG